This 254-nucleotide ribosomal RNA is filed under the name uncultured bacterium. RNAcentral's name for it is "partial 16S ribosomal RNA". It matches the Rfam family "Bacterial small subunit ribosomal RNA", at positions 524 to 776 of the family's 1533-position model. The record is from RNAcentral.
GACGAACCGUGCGAACGUUGUUCGGAAUCACUGGGCUUAAAGGGCGCGUAGGCGGUCAGCACAAGUCAGUUGUGAAAUCUCCGGGCUUAACUCGGAAAGGUCAACUGAUACUGUGCGACUAGAGUGCAGAAGGGGCAACUGGAAUUCUCGGUGUAGCGGUGAAAUGCGUAGAUAUCGAGAGGAACACCUGCGGCGAAGGCGGGUUGCUGGGCUGACACUGACGCUGAGGCGCGAAAGCUAGGGGAGCGAACGGG